GAUGAACGCUAGCUACAGGCUUAACACAUGCAAGUCGAGGGGUAACAAGGGAAAAGCUUGCUUUUCUUGUUGACGACCGGCGCACGGGUGAGUAACGCGUAUCCAACCUGCCUAUAACUAGGGAAUAACCUUGCGAAAGUAAGACUAAUACCCUAUGAUUUCCUUUGAUGGCAUCAGAUUAGGAAUAAAGAUUUAUCGGUUAUAGAUGGGGAUGGGUCUGAUUAGCUUGUUGGCGGGGUAACGGCCCACCAAGGCAACAAUCAGUAGGGGUUCUGAGAGAAAGGUCCCCCAAGUUGGAGCUGAGGCGCGGUUCAAACUCCUACGGAAGGCAGAGGUGAGGAAUAUUGGUCAAUAGGCGGAAGCGUGAACCAGCCAAGUAGCGUGCAGGAUGACGGCCCUAUGGGUUGUAAACUGCCUUUAUACAGGAAUAAAGUUAGCCACGUGUGGUUAUUUGUAGGUACUGUAUGAAUAAGGACCGGCUAAUUCCGUGCCAGCCGCCGCAGUAA
Molecule: ribosomal RNA, 506 nt
Filed under: uncultured bacterium
Lineage: Bacteria
Description: partial 16S ribosomal RNA
Rfam family: Bacterial small subunit ribosomal RNA
Source: RNAcentral